UACGUAGGGGCCAAGCGUUUGUCCGGAUUUAUUGGGCGUAAAGAGCUCGUAGGCGGUUUGGACAGUCGGGUGUGAAAGCUUGGGGCUUAACUCCAGGUCUGCAUUCGAUACGGGCUGGCUAGAGGUAGGUAGGGGAGAACGGAAUUCCUGGUGUAGCGGUGAAAUGCGCAGAUAUCAGGAGGAACACCGGUGGCGAAGGCGGUUCUCUGGGCCUUACCUGACGCUGAGGAGCGAAAGCGUGGGGAGCGAACAGG
Molecule: ribosomal RNA, 254 nt
Filed under: uncultured bacterium
Lineage: Bacteria
Description: partial 16S ribosomal RNA
Rfam family: Bacterial small subunit ribosomal RNA
Source: RNAcentral